GCCUAGAUAGCUCAGUUGGGAGAGCGUUAGACUGAAGAUCUAAAGGUCCCUGGUUCGAUCCCGGGUCUGGGCA
RNAcentral lists this transfer RNA (73 nucleotides) under Penaeus monodon (black tiger shrimp). RNAcentral's name for it is "tRNA-Phe". It matches the Rfam family "tRNA". Rfam says of the family: Transfer RNA (tRNA) molecules are approximately 80 nucleotides in length. Their secondary structure includes four short double-helical elements and three loops (D, anti-codon, and T loops). Further hydrogen bonds mediate the characteristic L-shaped molecular structure. tRNAs have two regions of fundamental functional importance: the anti-codon, which is responsible for specific mRNA codon recognition, and the 3' end, to which the tRNAs corresponding amino acid is attached (by aminoacyl-tRNA synthetases). tRNAs cope with the degeneracy of the genetic code in two manners: having more than one tRNA (with a specific anti-codon) for a particular amino acid; and 'wobble' base-pairing, i.e. permitting non-standard base-pairing at the 3rd anti-codon position. RNAcentral also lists the same sequence under 2 other names. Lineage: Eukaryota; Metazoa; Arthropoda; Malacostraca; Decapoda; Penaeidae. The record is from RNAcentral.